This 290-nucleotide small RNA is filed under the name Pongo abelii (Sumatran orangutan). Its description in RNAcentral is "processed transcript". Lineage: Eukaryota; Metazoa; Chordata; Mammalia; Primates; Hominidae. The record is from RNAcentral.
AAUGAGUACGUAUUUAAGUUUAAAACAGCCAAUUCCAUCUUUUUCAUGGAUUCUGCCAAUUAUAGAUCCUUCCAUUAUGAAGAAGAGUAAAGCCAGCAAGUUAACCAGAGCGCAAAGAAACAAGUAAUCUUGUCCUCAGGGACAGAAUUCAACGCCCUCAAAUCUCUCAUAUUGGGAAAGGUUUUAGAGGCUGCCGGCGCGGACCCAGACACAAGGCGGGCGGCGACUAGUGGCUUCACUGGCUGCCUCUCGGCGGUGCGCUUCGGCCAUGCUGCUCCCCUGAAGGCGGC